This 253-nucleotide ribosomal RNA is filed under the name uncultured bacterium. Its description in RNAcentral is "partial 16S ribosomal RNA". It matches the Rfam family "Bacterial small subunit ribosomal RNA", at positions 524 to 776 of the family's 1533-position model. The record is from RNAcentral.
UACGUAGGGGGCAAGCGUUGUCCGGAUUUAUUGGGCGUAAAGAGCGUGUAGGCGGCCAUACAGGUCAGCUGUGAAAACUCGAGGCUCAACCUCGAGACGUCGGUUGAAACCGUAUGGCUAGAGUCCGGAAGAGGAGAGUGGAAUUCCCGGUGUAGCGGUGAAAUGCGCAGAUAUCGGGAAGAACACCCGUGGCGAAGGCGGCUCUCUGGGACAACACUGACGCUGAGGCACGAAAGCGUGGGGAGCAAACAGG